Molecule: ribosomal RNA, 253 nt
Filed under: uncultured bacterium
Lineage: Bacteria
Description: partial 16S ribosomal RNA
Rfam family: Bacterial small subunit ribosomal RNA
Source: RNAcentral
GACGUAGGGCGCGAGCGUUGUCCGGAUUUAUUGGGCGUAAAGAGCUCGUAGGCGGUUUGUUGCGUCGGCUGUGAAAUCCCGAGGCUCAACCUCGGGUCUGCAGUCGAUACGAGCAAACUAGAGUGUUGCAGGGGAGACUGGAAUUCCUGGUGUAGCGGUGAAAUGCGCAGAUAUCAGGAGGAACACCGGUGGCGAAGGCGGGUCUCUGGGCAACAACUGACGCCGAGGAGCGAAAGCGUGGGGAGCGAACAGG